CCUACGGGAGGCAGCAGUGAGGAAUAUUGGUCAAUGGGAGAGAUCCUGAACCAGCCAAGCCGCGUGAGGGAAGACGGCCCUAUGGGUUGUAAACCUCUUUUGUCGGAGAACAAAACCCGGGACGUGUCCCGGACUGCGUGUAUCCGAAGAAAAAGCAUCGGCUAACUCCGUGCCAGCAGCCGCGGUAAUACGGAGGAUGCGAGCGUUAUCCGGAUUUAUUGGGUUUAAAGGGUGCGUAGGCGGUUUGAUAAGUUAGAGGUGAAAUACCGGUGCUCAACACCGGAACUGCCUCUAAUACUGUUGAACUAGAGAGUAGUUGCGGUAGGCGGAAUGUAUGGUGUAGCGGUGAAAUGCUUAGAGAUCAUACAGAACACCGAUUGCGAAGGCAGCUUACCAAACUAUAUCUGACGUUGAGGCACGAAAGCGUGGGUAGCAAACAGGAUUAGAUACCCUUGUAGUC
RNAcentral lists this ribosomal RNA (460 nucleotides) under uncultured bacterium. Its description in RNAcentral is "partial 16S ribosomal RNA". It matches the Rfam family "Bacterial small subunit ribosomal RNA", at positions 338 to 795 of the family's 1533-position model. The record is from RNAcentral.